Molecule: small RNA, 637 nt
Filed under: Arabidopsis thaliana (thale cress)
Lineage: Eukaryota; Viridiplantae; Streptophyta; Magnoliopsida; Brassicales; Brassicaceae
Description: unknown gene (AT4G06701)
Source: RNAcentral
AAAAUUAUUAGAAGUGAAAUAGAUGAUUAGGUUACUCGUGAAACACUACAUAUUUCUUUCUUCUUCUUCCCCGACUUGAGUUUUUCGGCGAUGGGAGACGAGCAGCUGGCGAUUGUGAUGGCCGAUCGUGAAAGAGAUCGAGAACUUUGAUUCGCUUCGCUGAUUCCGGCAACAAAGACGAUGGUUAGUCGUUUUCUCAUUUCAAGAUUCAUGUGAAAUGAACAGUAGCUUUGGAUCUGGAAUUGGAUUGUGAUCUUAUGCUUUAACUAUUUUCUGCAAACUUUAAGUUUGUUCAUUAAGGGUUUGGCAUCGAAGAAGUUCAUGAAAGGCUGAUUACUGGCAGCUCUAGCGCGAUUUUUAAAUCAGAUCAUCCCGCCAUGACCUCACAAGCUUGUCUCUUCAGAAUCAGCUCACAGACAGGAAAGAGGCGUUAAAGAUUUGGUGCAAGCUGCGACUCUGUGAUCACAACUCCACACCAAGAGCUCUGAUGUCAAGCAUCUCUACAAGAAAGAAGAAUGGGUUCUUAUCAUAUAAAUAUGUGCAAUGGAGAAAAUACAACACGUUUGGAUGGUCAACUCUAUGAAUCUGAUAAUCAUAUAAAUUUCAAGCUUCUUAAUUCUUUUAGUGUGAUGGAAUG